GCAUCGGUAGCUCAGUUGGCAGAGCAGUGGGACGGUACCCCACGCUCCGGGGUUCGAGCCCCGGCCGACGCG
This is a non-coding RNA of Phthorimaea operculella (potato tuberworm), 72 nucleotides long. The record is from the annotation of a GenBank genome assembly. NCBI's taxonomy places the organism in Eukaryota, Metazoa, Arthropoda, Insecta, Lepidoptera, Gelechiidae.